This is a long non-coding RNA of Dunckerocampus dactyliophorus (ringed pipefish), 917 nucleotides long. RefSeq lists it as uncharacterized. NCBI's taxonomy places the organism in Eukaryota, Metazoa, Chordata, Actinopteri, Syngnathiformes, Syngnathidae. The record is from RefSeq and is a predicted model, not a curated record. The transcript is spliced from 4 exons.
CUCACUUGACGCAUGUCCAUUGUGCGUGUGCUAACUUUCUCUCAUGCCGCACAGAUAGACUACUACUGUAUUUUUACCAUUUUUUCUUUCACCUCAUAUUUGGUGUCAAAUGCUGAUACUAUGUGGGAAUGCAUAAAGAAACCCCCGGCAGAUAUGCUGCGCUGCAUCCCAACAGAUUAGUGACUGGCUGCCGCCGAGAGGUCAAAAAGAGUCUGCGAUGGAGGGAAAGGCAGUAGGCGGCCGGAGUAGGUCUAGCAGCAGCAUCAGCUGGAGAGCAGCAAGUCAAAUGUCAAGUCAAGACGGAGGAUCACGUAUCCAAGCUCACCAGAAGUUGAUCAGAGUUUUACAACAAAGCAUCCGAGCUUUUCCUGGAGAAGCAUAGGGUGCAUGUACUUCAUAUAAAGAUGAAAGUGCGCGUACAUGCGUGCGCAAGCAGAUGAGUCCAUGAACUGAAGCGUGUGUGGAGAGCGAGACGGAGAGACAGACCAGAGACGAGAGCGGGUAAACAUAUUCCUCUUUACCUUGGAUUCACUGGCUGAGUCACUGCAGAUGGAGGGCAUUUUUCAUGCUGCAUUGCAACGUGGGUCUCUUUGCUGCAUUAUUUUCUAUGACACCCCCACCCCGAAGGAUGUUGGCGUCUUAAGGAGGCCCCUUGACUGUGAUUAAUACAACAUGCCGCCAUUAGCGACUGACAUUUGAUUUCUUCUCCCACGCCCGUCGCACAUCUGCCGCAUUCUUCACCAGCCGGGUUAUGGCUGCACUACCUGAUGAAGAACGACACUGAGCAGAAUAUUUAAACUCCCAUCUGGCUCCUUUUUCCAUUUUUGUCACCCACAUACCUUUUAGUAGACGCUGUGGCUCCUCCUCCUCGCCAAGCACACGUGUGGCGCCGCUCUCAAUCUGGAUGAUUGCUGUUG